This 253-nucleotide ribosomal RNA is filed under the name uncultured bacterium. RNAcentral describes it as "partial 16S ribosomal RNA". It matches the Rfam family "Bacterial small subunit ribosomal RNA", at positions 524 to 776 of the family's 1533-position model. The record is from RNAcentral.
UACAGGGGGUGCAACCGUUGCUCGGAAUUAUUGGGCGUAAAGGGCUCGUAGGCGGUCUGUCACGUCGGGAGUGAAAACUCAGGGCUUAACCCUGAGCCUGCUUCCGAUACGGGCAGACUAGAGGUAUGCAGGGGAGAACGGAAUUCCUGGUGUAGCGGUGAAAUGCGCAGAUAUCAGGAGGAACACCGGUGGCGAAGGCGGUUCUCUGGGCAUUACCUGACGCUGAGGAGCGAAAGUGUGGGGAGCGAACAGG